AACAGGAUUAGAUACCCUGGUAGUCCACGCCGUAAACGAUGUCGACUUGGAGGUUGUGCCCUUGAGGCGUGGCUUCCGGAGCUAACGCGUUAAGUCGACCGCCUGGGGAGUACGGCCGCAAGGUUAAAACUCAAAUGAAUUGACGGGGGCCCGCACAAGCGGUGGAGCAUGUGGUUUAAUUCGAUGCAACGCGAAGAACCUUACCCACUCUUGACAUCCAGAGAACUUAGCAGAGAUGCUUUGGUGCCUUCGGGAACUCUGAGACAGGUGCUGCAUGGCUGUCGUCAGCUCGUGUUGUGAAAUGUUGGGUUAAGUCCCGCAACGAGCGCAACCCUUAUCCUUUGUUGCCAGCGGUUAGGCCGGGAACUCAAAGGAGACUGCCAGUGAUAAACUGGAGGAAGGUGGGGAUGACGUCAAGUCAUCAUGGCCCUUACGAGUAGGGCUACACACGUGCUACAAUGGCAUAUACAAAGAGAAGCGACCUCGCGAGAGCAAGCGGGCCUCAUAAAGUAUGUCGUAGUCCGGAUUGGAGUCUGCAACUCGGCUCCAUGAAGUCGGAAUCGCUAGUAAUCGUGGAUCAGAAUGCCACGGUGAAUACGUUCCCGGGCCUUGUACACACCGCCCGUCACACCAUGGGAGUGGGUUGCAAAAGAAGUAGGUAGCUUAACCUUCGGGAGGGCGCUUACCACUUUGUGAUUCAUGACUGGGGUGAAGUCGUAACAAGGUAACC
RNAcentral lists this ribosomal RNA (730 nucleotides) under uncultured bacterium. RNAcentral describes it as "bacterial SSU rRNA". It matches the Rfam family "Bacterial small subunit ribosomal RNA", at positions 771 to 1501 of the family's 1533-position model. The record is from RNAcentral.